GUGGGUGGAAACGCACUGGCUGACUGGGGUCGGCGUUCAGUUCGGCGCCGCGACUCGGGGACCUGGAGCUGACGCCUAGACACUUGUAUUAGCUUUAAUAGAAGAGAAAUGGAGGAGCCAUAGAAUAUUAAGGAUGAAUUCAGGAAGGCCUGAGACCAUGGAAAACUUGCCUGCUCUCUACACUAUUUUCCAAGGAGAGUUAUGGUGAAGCUGAAACAGUGCUCAAGAUGAAGCAGCCAAUUAAAGACACUGAAAAGAAUAAAGUUUAUGUUGCUAUGGUGACAGACUAUGGGGCCUUUAUCAAAAUCCCAGGCUGUCGGAAGCAAGGUCUGGUCCAUCGAACUCAUAUGUCAUCCUGUCGGGUGGAUAAGCCCUCUGAGAUAGUAGAUGUCGGAGAUAAAGUGUGGGUGAAGCUUAUUGGCCGAGAGAUGAAAAAUGAUAGGAUAAAAGUAUCCCUCUCCAUGAAAGUUGUCAAUCAAGGGACUGGGAAAGACCUUGAUCCCAACAACGUUAUCAUUGAGCAAGAAGAGAGGCGGAGGCGAUCCUUCCAGGAUUACACUGGGCAGAAGAUCACCCUUGAGGCUGUCUUGAACACAACCUGCAAGAAGUGUGGCUGUAAAGGCCACUUUGCAAAAGAUUGUUUCAUGCAACCAGGUGGGACCAAAUACUCUCUGAUACCUGAUGAGGAAGAGGAAAAGGAAGAGGCAAAGUCAGCAGAGUUUGAGAAGCCUGACCCUACAAGGAAUCCUUCUAGAAAAAGA
RNAcentral lists this small RNA (761 nucleotides) under Pongo abelii (Sumatran orangutan). Its description in RNAcentral is "processed transcript". The record is from RNAcentral. Lineage: Eukaryota; Metazoa; Chordata; Mammalia; Primates; Hominidae.